ACAAACUUGGUCAUUUAGAGGAAGUAAAAGUCGUAACAAGGUAUCUGUAGGUGAACCUGCAGAUGGAUCAUUUCGAUGAAAAACCUUUUUUCUGAGGUGUGGCUCGCACCUGUCCAACUAAACUUGAGCUACCUUUUUAUACACGGUUGCAUCGGUCGGCCUGUCCAACAGUGCGGGAAUUAUUUUCCGGCGCUGAGCAGACGAGUCGGCACUUUACACAAACACUUUUGAUAAUCUAGGAUUUGAAUGAAAGUUCAUUUUUAUGAUGGAUCCGACUGGUAAUGCGGUCGUCUAAAUCUAAAAAACAACUUUUGGCAACGGAUCUCUUGGUUCUCCCAUCGAUGAAGAACGCAGC
Molecule: unclassified non-coding RNA, 355 nt
Filed under: uncultured fungus
Lineage: Eukaryota; Fungi
Description: partial contains small subunit ribosomal RNA, internal transcribed spacer 1, and 5.8S ribosomal RNA
Rfam family: Eukaryotic small subunit ribosomal RNA (bases 1-73)
Source: RNAcentral